AGUGAACGCUGGCGGUAGGCCUAACACAUGCAAGUCGAACGGCAGCACAGUAAGAGCUUGCUCUUACGGGUGGCGAGUGGCGGACGGGUGAGGAAUACAUCGUAAUCUACUUUUUCGUGGGGGAUAACGUAGGGAAACUUACGCUAAUACCGCAUACGUCCUACGGGUGAAAGCAGGGGAUCUUCGGACCUUGCGCGAUUGAAUGAGCCGAUGUCGGAUUAGCUAGUUGGCGGGGUAAAGGCCCACCAAGGCGACGAUCCGUAGCUGGUCUGAGAGGAUGAUCAGCCACACUGGAACUGAGACACGGUCCAGACUCCUACGGGAGGCAGCAGUGGGGAAUAUUGGACAAUGGGCGCAAGCCUGAUACAGCCAUACCGCGUGGGUGAAGAAGGCCUUCGGGUUGUAAAGCCCUUUUGUUGGGAAAGAAAAGCAGCAGGUUAAUACCCCGCUGUUCUGACGGUACCCAAAGAAUAAGCACCGGCUAACUUCGUG
Molecule: ribosomal RNA, 492 nt
Filed under: uncultured bacterium
Lineage: Bacteria
Description: partial 16S ribosomal RNA
Rfam family: Bacterial small subunit ribosomal RNA
Source: RNAcentral